RNAcentral lists this ribosomal RNA (650 nucleotides) under uncultured bacterium. RNAcentral's name for it is "bacterial SSU rRNA". It matches the Rfam family "Bacterial small subunit ribosomal RNA", at positions 51 to 721 of the family's 1533-position model. The record is from RNAcentral.
ACACAUGCAAGUCGAGCGGUAACAGAAAGUAGCUUGCUACUUUGCUGACGAGCGGCGGACGGGUGAGUAAUGCUUGGGAACAUGCCUUGAGGUGGGGGACAACAGUUGGAAACGACUGCUAAUACCGCAUAAUGUCUACGGACCAAAGGGGGCUUCGGCUCUCGCCUUUAGAUUGGCCCAAGUGGGAUUAGCUAGUUGGUGAGGUAAUGGCUCACCAAGGCAACGAUCCCUAGCUGGUUUGAGAGGAUGAUCAGCCACACUGGAACUGAGACACGGUCCAGACUCCUACGGGAGGCAGCAGUGGGGAAUAUUGCACAAUGGGCGAAAGCCUGAUGCAGCCAUGCCGCGUGAGUGAAGAAGGCCUUUGGGUUGUAAAGCUCUUUCGUCGGGGAAGAAAAUGACUGUACCCGAAUAAGAAGGUCCGGCUAACUUCGUGCCAGCAGCCGCGGUAAUACGAAGGGACCUAGCGUAGUUCGGAAUUACUGGGCUUAAAGAGUUCGUAGGUGGUUGAAAAAGUUGGUGGUGAAAUCCCAGAGCUUAACUCUGGAACUGCCAUCAAAACUUUUCAGCUAGAGUAUGAUAGAGGAAAGCAGAAUUUCUAGUGUAGAGGUGAAAUUCGUAGAUAUUAGAAAGAAUACCAAUUGCGAAGG